Molecule: long non-coding RNA, 2816 nt
Filed under: Linum usitatissimum (flax)
Lineage: Eukaryota; Viridiplantae; Streptophyta; Magnoliopsida; Malpighiales; Linaceae
Description: long non-coding RNA (LUSI_LNC007192)
Source: RNAcentral
AGCCACACGCCAUCGUCAUCCCUUUCCCACUUCAAGGACACGUCAUCCCCGCCGUCCACCUGGCCGUCAAGCUCGCCUCCCAAGGUUUCACUAUCACCUUCGUCAACACCGAAUACAUCCACCACAAGACCUCCUCCUCCGCUGGCGGAUGCGACGAGGACUUUUUCGCCGGCGUCAGGAAAUCUGGGUUGGAUAUAAGGUACAAAACCAUAUCGGACGGGUUGCCACUCCGGUUCGACCGGUCAUUGAACCAUGACCAGUUCAUGGCUUCUAUGUCCCACGUGUUCCCUGCCCACGUGGAAGAGUUGGUCGCCGGGAUGGUUGCCGCCGGUGAGGAGGAGAAAGUUAGCUGUUUGAUUACCGACACCUUCUUCGCGUGGCCGUCAAAGGUUGUCAAGAAGUUCGGAUUGGUUUUCGUUUCGAUUUGGACCCAACCGGCUUUGGUUUUCACCUUGUACCAUCAUGUCCACCUUCUUCGCCAAAAUGGUCACUACGGUUGUCAAGGUAAUCAUCUAAUCCAAGUUUUGUGGAGGUUAGUAAAGAUGGUAGAAGAAUUUUUCUUCUGAAUAUAAUCGUAAUUUUCAAUUCCAUUUAGAUCGAAGAGAGGACUCGAUAGACUAUAUACCAGGAGUAAAAAAAAUCGAACCAAAAGACUUGCCGUCAAUUCUUCAAGAAAUCGAUGAGACCAGUCUUUUCAUCCAAGCAACUUUCCAUGUGCUUCAAGAUGUCAAGAGUGCGGAUUUUAUAUUGGCCAAUACGGUUCAAGAGCUUGAACAUGACACGAUCUCAAGUCUAAAACAAGCAUACAACGACCAAUUCUAUGCUAUCGGGCCUGUCUUCCCACCCGGGUUCACCAUAAGCCCGGUAAGCACUAGUUUGUGGCCGGAGUCGGACUGCACCCAGUGGUUAAACUCUAAGCCAAGUGGCUCUGUCCUCUAUGUCUCAUUCGGGAGCUAUGUCCACGUGACUAAGCCCGACCUCGUGGAGGUAGCAUGUGGGAUGGCCCUUAGUGGGAUAUGUUUUCUUUGGGUGUUGCGUGAUGAUAUUGUGAGCUCGGAAGAUCCGGACCCCUUGCCUGUUGGAUUCAGAAAAGAGGUUUCGGAUCGGGCGAUGAUUGUCGGGUGGUGUAGUCAGAAGGAAGUUCUAGCGCAUGAGGCGAUCGGAGGGUUCCUAACUCACUGUGGGUGGAACUCGGUGCUGGAGAGCACUUGGUGUGGAGUGCCAAUGCUGUGUUUUCCUUUGUUUGUGGAUCAGUUCACGAACCAAAAGCUAGUGGUGGAUGAUUGGAAGGUUGGGAUUAACCUUGUUGACCAGACGAUUGUGACGAAAGAAGAAGUAUCGAAGAAUGCCACUCGUUUAAUGGUUGGAAAAUCGAGAGACGAGCUCAAGGAAAGAAUCAAAGAGGUGAACAGAAUCUUGGUGGAUGCACUCGAGCCUAAUGGAUCGUCCAAACAGAAUUUGGUCCGAUUCAUUAGAGAACUCAAAGACAUGAUUAUAUAUAGACACCAGUGAAUGGACCAUUGGAUUGAGUUGGUUAUAAAGUAUGGUAGCUGCAAAUCAAUUAUUAGGAUGUUUGAAAUUCGUGGGCCAUCUUUGUCAAAAGGAAAACCUUGUGGGCCAGCUGGAUUCAUUAUUUUGAUGUGGAUGAUUGAUUAACCAAGUAGAUAUAAUAUUCUAUUCUAGUACUCCAAUUUUUAACUCAUUCAUCAUUGAUCACUCUAUCACAUUAAACUUAGGGAAUGUGCUAUUUGAACAAUUAAAAAAAUGAAUCGUCAUCUAUAUUUUUACUAAUUUAAUGAUAUAAACUAAAAGUGUAAUACUUUUUGCCAAUUGCUAUAUAUUUGACUCAUUUAUUAUUGAUUUUUAGUUGUUUGAGUCGUAGUCAUGGUGUUGAGAGCGGACGUAAUAAAUUAUGGUGGAAGAUGAUAAUUUUAUCAAAAAUUAUUAGGAUUUACGGAUGGAAGAAACUUUUCAGGGGAGUAUAAAUUUUUUUCCGAAAGAAAAUAACUAAGACAAUACUGAAAAUUCAAAUUGAAAUAAUUUAGAGCGAUUAAGAUUGGUGAUUAAUAUAGCCAUGAACGAAGACAAAAAUUAAAUAAUUUUUUUUGACAUGAUCAUGGAUCAACUUUAUCCAUUCAUCCUUCAUAUAUAUCCACAAAAAUGAAAAAUCCUUCUAAACAAAACAUAAUCACACAAAGCAAAUCAUGGCGGAUGAGACACACGGCGGCGGCGCAUACGCCAUCGUGGUCACUUUCCCGCUUCAAGGCCAUGUCAUCCCCGCCGUCCACCUCGCCGUCAAGCUCGCCUCCCAAGGUUUCACUAUCACCUUUGUCAACACCCACUACAUCCACCACAAGAUCACCUCGUCAUCGGUCGUCGCUGCCGCCGGCGACGAUAUUUUUCUGCGUCCGGGAAUCGGGGUCGGACAUAAGGUACAAAACCAUUUCGGAUGGGAAACCAUGACGAAUUCUUGGCUUCGAUUAUGCACGUGUUCCCUGCCCACGUGGAGGAGUUGGUAGCCGGGAUGGUUGCCGCCGGUGAGGAAGAGGAGGUGGAGAAGGUUAGUUGUUUGGUGGCCGACACUUUCUUCGUGUGGCCGUCGAAGGUUGCAAAGAAGUUCAGGUUGGUUUACGUUUCGGUUUGGACCCAACCGGUUUGGUUUUCACCUUGCACCAUCAUGUCCACCUUCUUCGCCAAAAUGGUCACUUUGGUUGUCGAGGUAAUUUAUCUAUUCCAAGUUUUUACUUUGUAGAGGUUAGGAAAGAUGGUAAAUGAGUGUUAUGAACUUAAUCAUGGUUUUGAUUACUUUUAGAUCG